GUCUCUGUAGCACAAUUGAUAGUGAGUUGGAAUUCUAAUCCAAAGGUUGUGGGUCCGAAUUCCACCUGGAAUG
Non-coding RNA from Trichonephila clavata, 73 nucleotides. The record is from the annotation of a GenBank genome assembly. Lineage: Eukaryota; Metazoa; Arthropoda; Arachnida; Araneae; Nephilidae.